This is a long non-coding RNA of Hippocampus comes (tiger tail seahorse), 251 nucleotides long. RefSeq lists it as uncharacterized. The transcript has 2 exons. The record is from RefSeq and is a predicted model, not a curated record. Lineage: Eukaryota; Metazoa; Chordata; Actinopteri; Syngnathiformes; Syngnathidae.
UUCCUCCCACCACUCAGCUCUUCUUGUUCCUUCAAGACUUCUCUCAGAAAAUGCUGUCCAAGACGCACGAGAUAGAGAAGCAGCUGGACAGCUUGAUCCGAGACACCAAGACCACGGAUAGCAGCCUGCAUUCUGUCUUCAACGACUUCCUCAUGCUCUCCAAUACCCAGUUUAUCGAGAAUAGAGUGUAUGAUGAAGAGAUUCAGGAACCCGUGCCCAAGACUGAUGCUGUGGAGAAGCAGGUUGAUCAG